This 594-nucleotide ribosomal RNA is filed under the name uncultured bacterium. RNAcentral's name for it is "bacterial SSU rRNA". It matches the Rfam family "Bacterial small subunit ribosomal RNA", at positions 28 to 638 of the family's 1533-position model. The record is from RNAcentral.
AAUCAACGCUGGCGGCGUGCCUAACACAUGCAAGUCGAACGAGAAAGUGGAGCAAUCCAUGAGUAAAGUGGCGACCGGGUGAGUAACACGUGACUAACCUACCCUCGAGUGGGGAAUAACUCCGGGAAACCGGAGCUAAUACCGCAUAACAUCUUCGGAACUCAGGUUCUGUUGAUCAAAGGAGCAAUUCGCUUGAGGAGGGAGUCGCGGCUGAUUAGCUAGUUGGCGGGGUAAUGGCCCACCAAGGCUUAGAUCGGUAGCCGGCCUGAGAGGGCGCACGGCCACACUGGAACUGAAACACGGUCCAGACUCCUACGGGAGGCAGCAGUGGGGAAUUUUGCGCAAUGGGGGAAACCCUGACGCAGCAACGCCGCGUGGAGGAUGAAGUCCCUUGGGAUGUAAACUCCUUUCGACCGGGAAGAUGAUGACGGUACCGGUAGAAGAAGCACCGGCUAACUCUGUGCCAGCAGCCGCGGUAAUACAGAGGGUGCGAGCGUUGUUCGGAAUUAUUGGGCGUAAAGGGCGCGUAGGCGGCGCGGUAAGUCACCUGUGAAAUCUCCCGGCUCAACCGGGAGUCUGCAGGCGAAACUGCCG